AGCGCAGCGAAGUGUCUGAUCACAUUCCUCACUGUCAUCAGCUCCAACACAUUUAUUUGCUCGUGCGUGUUGGAGGGCCAGCGAUCUGCCACCGUAUGGGACAAGAACAUGCCCCCCCACCCCAACAGCGACACACCCGUAAACACAGACACGUGUGACGCAGGGCGUCCGAUGGGAACUCCGUGUGAGAGGGUGCAGGGGUUCCCCCAGUGAGUGAGGUCCCCGCCCACUGAGGGGGGAACCCUCAACAUACGUUCCUUCUGACAUAUUGGGUGCACCCGGAGGCGGAUGAACCAACGUUGCAGGCGCCUCGUGUGCAGCAACCCUAGCGGCACCACAGUGUGGGCUGCAGUCAUCAUGCCCAGAAGUUUCAUGAUUAACAGGGCUCUCAUGAUCCUGCGUGGUUGCACGCGGGAGAUCACCGCGAUGAGAUCUGCUGCUCUCACCGGCGACAAACGUGUACUCAUCACGGAGGCGUUCAGCUCCACCCCGAGAAACACAAUUGACUGGGACGGAAGGAUGGAGCUCUUCUCCCAGUUUAUAGAAAACCCCAGGGUUGACAGAUGCUCUGUUAACUUCCUGGUCUGUUCCGACGCCUCGUCCUCGGACCGAGCGCACAGGAGCAGGUCGUCCAUGUAAAAUAAAACUCUCAUUCCCGCUGUGCGCAGCGGCUGCAGCGCGGUCUCCAGACAUUUGGAGAAAGUGUGCGGGGCUAGCGAGUAGCCGAAAGGGAGGCGAUUGAAUUCUUAAUGAACUCCCUUAAAUGAGAAGCGCAGGAACUUCAGGUGCCUGGGAAUUACCGGGAUGUGGAAGUAUGCGUCUUUCAGGUCUAUUGACGUGAACCAGUCCCCGGAACGCACAUAUUCCAGGACUUGCCUCAUUGUCAACAUGCGGAAAUGCAUCACUGCUAUGGAGCAGUUGAACAGGGAAAGGUCGAGAAUCGGUCUCAUUCCUCCCAACUUCUUCGGUACUACGAAUUAGCGGGAGUAGAAACCCGAGAGCUCUUGUCCGCGAGGGACUCGGGAAAUAGCGUCCUUGGACAGAAGUUCCCGCAGCUCCAGCUCUAGGGUCUGAGACUGAACUUGUGAUAUGAACGUCGUCUCCACGAUCCCGUUGAAGGGAGGAGGAGCGGCCUGAAAAUGGAGUGAGUGACCGUAAUGAACGGUCUCCGAUAUCCAUUUGCUCAUGGCACAAAGGCGGCGCCAUUCGUGCGCGCGUUCCGACAGGGGACGCGUGUUCGCGGUCACGUGAGUAAUGUCUGAAGGUUGAGUAUGCGCCCUUACCGCCGUCGCUCGCCCCAGAGGACUGGGGGCGACCCAUGGAGGGCUGUGCUCGAAAGGGCGAGUGUGAACCAGCUGGAAGAGGCUGAUCCGCACCGCGGGGUGUGGAGACCAAAGGAGCAGGGCGAGUGGGAGCUGGGCCCAUACACGGGGACGGCAAAGUGCCCGCGGACGGAGUCGCGCACUGUGCCGCCGCUCGUGACCGCGCCAUGACGUCCCGUCCCACCCAGCGUUGUGGGGAAAACGGGAUGAGCUGGGCCUGGCCGGAGGCUGGGGCCGGUGCGCGAAUGGAGCGCACCUUUACAGCUGGCCGUGAGACAUGGCUGACUGCGGGAAUACGUAUAUGUGCCGCAGUGCUUGAUGUGGGGAACGUGUGUGAAGAGUCGGCAGAGGACUCUGCAGAGGACUGUUGGAUUGAGCUCUUUAAGUGACGUUUUUUGGGUUUUAUUUCAAAACCAACAUCAACAGCAGCAUCAACAGCAUUACAUGCAUGUACACACACAUUCCCCCCAAAGAGUCCUUUCCGUGGCUGCUUCCGGCGAGGCUCCUGCGCCUGCGACUGCCACGACGGCGUCUGCUGGCUCCGUCGAACCCGUUGGUCGCCAACUCGCUGGUCUCGCUGAGGUGGAGCCGAAGUAGGAGGCCGGCUCCGUGGAGCGGGCUGCACAAAACGGGCACGAGGCCUGGGGGGUCAAGGCCAGGCCAGCGUGAUGAGCCCCAAGACAGACCUCACAUUUGGCGUGCAGGUCGCCGCUGGAAAUGGAGCCCGUCUGGCAGGCCUGGCACGUUCUGGCGUCGUUGGACAUAGCUGGUGAGUCGUAAUCUUCUUGUGAUAAUUGCUCUUUAAGGGAGCUCUCAGGCUUGGCAUGAAGAGGCGAACAGUGGAGUCGCUCCACUUAUAUACCCACAAGGGGGCCCACUAUUAGUGGGCGUACAUUUAAGCUCUUCAUGAUUGGCUGAUGCGGAGAUCAUCCUUCCAAUAGCAGGUCGCUUAAGUGCUAAGACUAGACGAAAUAGAACUGAAAUAAGUCAUGAAAUAAUAAACAUUUCUAUUGCUUAAUUAAUUAUUAAACCACUUUAGAUAGAACAUCAUUGUAGAUAAUUGUAAUUAUAACCAACUCGUGAAGAAUCAUUUAAUGAGACAAAAUAAGAUUAAUUGUAUUAAAAAGGGAACAGUCUUUCGCAUUAGACCUUGGAGUUGCAGCCGGAUGUCAAUAGUGGCAGAAGAGAUGUCAGGUUAUGGAAUUGUUUUGACUAUCUUCUUCUUCUGGCUCUUGGAGAGUACAGACGCUUUUUUUUCUCCUCUCUCUCCCUCUUCAUCCCAAGGCUCUUUGUCCUGUCUGUGUGCGCAGUGCUUUCUGCAUUUUUUCUGGAAACUGGAAAUGAUUAGAAAUGGAUCUGGUCAGUUGGUCUCAACGCGAUUGACAAAAUGUUUUCAACGAUGAGAACGGGAGAAGGGGCUCCCAGAUGCCCCUCUGGGACAGAGCCAGCUGGGCAUAUCAUGGACUCCUGGAAAAAGUGGAACCUGAUAUGCCUCUCUCAAAUGUCUGUAGAGGAUUUUGAAGAUGUCUGGAUAUUCAUCGUUUUGGUGUUGGGAUUCUUGCUGUUUGGCAUGAGCGGUUACCCGGCUUACCGGAAAAUUAACAAGCUUUCGAGGAAUAUUGGCUCAAUCCCGGAGCUCAGGGAUGGAAUGCAUCGCACUGUGAAUGCACAAACUCAUAGACUUGUCGAGAUGAGUCGUAAGCUUGGAACUUUGGCUGAGAUUCAGGCUCUGGCACAGAAGGUGGAUUCCAUCAAGGAGAGAGUUGACGAAUCAGCACGGAUUAUGCCAUUAUUGGAUCUAGAGGGGUUGAAGACCAACAGAACUCUUAAGGCAGAGAGGAAAUUAUCUCUGUCUGUCCCCAAAACAAUUCUUAUCUGAAUCUGGUGCCCUUGAAGCCUGUGAGGCUGAAGUGAAAAGGGUUGUUGAUUUUUUCCGAGGCUUGUGUUCUGGUUGUUUUUUUUUUUUUUUGGAGUUGAGUUAAAGUGUUGGCCAUAAACAGGCUUCCCAGUAAUUUGACAGGUUCAUCCUAACCCCAAAGAAGAUUCUGACACAGACACAAUGAUAUAGUGGGCCUGUUUAUAUUUAUAAAAGCAGUUGAUUGUUUAAAGUAACUGUAACUAAAGUUACUCAGAGCCACUGUAGAAGGUCCAGCCUGAGUUAAGCUGUGGUAGCUGGAGAGGAACUGAGAAACAGCAUCAAAGCUUUUGCUGUUUGCUUGUUCAAGUUGAAUUCAAAUAGGAUAUAUAAAACAUCAGUUAUAUAAUAAUUUUAUGCAUAUUUAACAGUCCUGUUAGCGAUAAAAGGCAGAAUUUACUUUAUCUGGUUGCAUUGAAGCUUCACGUCCCACCAUGAGUUGUCUCUGUCCCACAUGUGGUGAGUUGGGAUCUGCUCAUCCUACUGAAGAAUGAUUCAGUAAUCUGGACUAAUUUCAGAUGUUUUUAUGCUUGGUUUUCUGUGAAUUAGUCUCAUAAUAAUUAAUGAUUAGGGAUCGUCAUAUAAUAAUUAUCUGAUCAGUUCUGUCCGUUCAUUAUAUUUAGCUCUCUUGAACAGUAGAACUGAUAGAAAAUUGCUUACAUUUAGCAAAAAAAAAAAAAAAAAAAAUCACAUAAAAUAUAUUUUUUAAUUAUUCUCAAUAAAAUAAAUGUAUGUAAAGGUCAGAGGUCACUACAACACUCGGUGUAGAAUAGAUGCAAAUCUGCAGCAUGCGAAGACCUGUUUGGGGGGAGUUAAUUUAAUUCUCACGUUUUUCACAGCCUCUGAGUUCGGAGGUAUGAAAAAUAGAUGCAUGUACAUGUUUUUGUUAUGUGCGAGUGGUUUGCAUUUUUGUACCACGAGGCUUUACGUAUUAUUGCUACAGCCUCGCUGUCCUGGAUGUGACGUAACCCGUCAUGAAGUGGAAAACAAAGUGAUGCAGUAUUUAAAAACAGUAUGAGUUUUUAACAGUUGAUUAGUUCUUUGUGAUUGUCUUAAUUUUAUUUUUAGGUCUUAAAAAGUCUUGAAAAAGUCUUAAAUUUAAUUUUGAGAUCCCCACAUAGGAUCUGAGGAAGGAGUCUAAAGCCCUUUUCAGACAGACAUUCUGGAACAUUUGCGGACAAUUCAAUCCGGUUUUUAACCGGAACUGUGUUUUCAGACACACCACUUUUGUACCGGAACUUGUCCUUUCGGCUGCGUUCACACAGCAGGGAAAAGUUCCAGAUGUCUGACGGGGGUGGGGGGGAGAAUCGGACUUAUGUUAAGAAGAAGAAGAAAACAUCAUUUCUAUAGCGCCUCUCAAGAUAAAAAUCACGAGGCGCUUAAGCAUAAUUCUGCGCACACGAAGACGCAUAAGAGACCUGGAUGAUGAAGCUCAAUGGUUAAAGGAAUCACUGAAGCGGUGUGAAGCGCUCAGUCGCGCGUCUAGACGGUACCGUAGGAGGCGAGCUGCCGUGGUUCGCCGCAUGCUACAGGAGCGAGCUAUCUAGGUGAGCACAGCAUCCCCCGGUACCCUCCUCCCCCUCCCUCUUGUCCAGAACUCUUCCUCACCAGUCUGAAGCAGCCACCCUGUCCGUAACAAGUCCGGACCUGUUACUAGGGGCUUCGUCCGGAUAAAUUCCGGAACACGUUAUCCGGAUGUUUGUAUUCAGACAGAAAGGUCUUACGGACAGGUUCUGGAACAUUUCCGUUUUUCAUGGCCUGUCUGAAGGGGGCUUUACUGAAGCAUUUUCCGUUUCUGCUCAUCUUGCAGCUGGAGAUAAUGAUCCUCUAUUCUGUCUUUGUUCAGUAAGUUUCAGUAAGUCCUUUGUGGCGCACUACUUUUGGGACAUGAAAAAUAAAGUUUGUUUUUGUCCUGAUUGCACGAAAUUUGGGCAUUUUUACACCCAGUCAACAAAGUAAAUAAAUCCUGUGGUACACCAGAGGUGGAAGCGCCGCGUUCCACCCGCGAUUUUGAGAUGUCAAGUGGUCACACAGCACGUGCGGCACCGCGCCACUGAGCGCUUAUUGGAAAGUCGCGCGAUAGUCACAACAUCAUGUGGGUCUUGAACAGGAAGCGUGAAGUCACUCUAUUGUUUAUACGUGAUCAGACAUGCUGUUGUGUUUCAUGGGACUCUAACAGUGGGUUAGUACAAUAUUUAUUAAAAUAUUUUAGGAUCAAAAAUCCAAACUGCGGCUGGGUUUGUGCCGGUCCUUAGAUUUGUGCAGUAAACCUGACCACUAUUGGAGACCGGCCUUUAUUUACCCCCCGCUGACUGCGAGGCCAGCUAAUGUAGGAGGCCCGGCCGGUAAUGGGAUACAGGCCAUUAUUAGAGGAUUUAAGGUAUACACCAAUAAUUAUACUAUGGAUUGAAAAAGGCAGUAUUUCAUAUAAACCCAACGUAUAAAGUAUUAUCGUUUGAAUGCUGUACCGGCAUUCAAACUGUAAUACUUGUAAAUAAUAAUAUCAUCUUACUUGGUCUGUAUUCAAUUUUUUCUCACAUCUCAGCCUGGCUGGUCACCACUGGAGAGGUGUAGCUUCCCAGACUCACACUAACAUCCCAUUUUACCUCAGGGCCUCCUGAUCUUCUAACAGAAAAACCUGUUUCUCCAUUCUCGCUCUGCUUUCCACGUGUUUCUCAUCUCUGGAAGCUACCUCCCACAACACUGUGAUGUUAUAUAUAAUUUGUUUUUUACAGGCUAAAUGAACCCAAGUAAUCUGCUGUCAGACUGAUUGUUGCAGCUACAAAUGAUCCAGACUAACAUGAAGCCUUGCAGGUGUAGUAAAGCUUAUUGCUAUACGUGUGUUGCUGCUGUGAGCUUGGAGCUAGAUUACAUUAUGACAUCAUGAAGGAGACUACUGAUUCUGGUCCCGUGACACUUGGUGGUGACGUGUGAGCUGAUUCACCUGAUCUCUAGAAACCACUUUCUCCUUGAAGAGAUCACACUAACCUUCGAUGACUGCGAACCAACAUCCACCCGUCUCCUAUCUGCCUACAACUGUUGUAAUAAAUGUUGUAUGCGUUUAACAAGUUCUUUGUGCUGCCAAAAUGUCUCAUUUUAACUCCAAUUUUGUUUUUAAUGGAUAUUUAUAUAUCAUAUUUAUUAAAUUAUCAUUACUUUGUUGCACAUUUAGCUGGCUCUAUUGUGAUAUAAAUAAGCACUUCAGUGUUAAGAGCUCAUUUUAAAAUUCAAGUAUGUGUUAACAUAUUUAUGGACAAACAAAAACAGUAUAUAUAUAUAUAAAUUGAGAUUGAUCAAUCAAUCAAUCAAAGCUUUAUUUAUAAAGCGCCUUCCGCAACCCUGUCAGGAAGCCCAAGGCGCUGAACAUUUAUUUCAAUAAUCAAUCAAAUAUUAAUGACUGAAGUCCAGAGGAGGGAGGAAUCCUUUAAAAGCACAUUCUUCAGGAAGCUCCUGAUCCUGAUGACAAUAGGAGACCCAGCUGCUGAUACCAGACAAUAACCUACAACCUACAGUCAUCCCACAGUGCAACCAUCUUCUGUGUGUCUUCCAAAGGUCACAAUCCCCAAGCUUUUGUCUUCUGCUGACAAACCCCAACGUUUUUUUUAUUCCUGUUCAUUUAUCAACCAGAAAAGCCAUAUUUAUGACAUAUUCAUUGCCAGAGAACCCAGAAACGCACCAGAAAAUUUACGACCCAUCCCUCUCGAACGGAUUAAGAAGACAAAUGUUCUCCAGGAUUCAGUUCAGUGUGCCCUGUUAAAUGCUCGCUCCAUCUCAAACAAAUCCUUUAUUUUAAACGAGCUGUUCAUCAGCGAAAUGUUGGAAUAUUUAGUUCUUACAGAGACGUGGCAGCAAGAUGGAAAUUAUAUUCACUUCAGUGACAUAUGUCCACCAAAUAGCUCUGUGUUUACCACACCAUGCUCGGCAUGUCGUGGUGGAGGUCUUGCUGUGGUCUUUAAGGACAAACAUGUCUUUAUUCUGGUGAAAAAUGGCCCUUUUACUACUGUUGAUUGCCAGGUCAUCAAAGCAGGGUUACAAAAUAUAUUUCACUGUAUUUUAAUCAUAGGCGUCAUUUUAACCGGGGACAUGUCCCCGGCAAAAUUUGUGAUUGGCAGCUGUGUCCCCCCCACUUUCAAAAACGCCUGCUGAUGAGGAUUUUUGUUUUACCAGCUCAGAUCUUAUACCAGGGGUCGGCAACCUAUUCCCAUCAAAGAGCCAUUAUUACCCGUUUCCCACAGUAAUUUUGGACGGAUCUUAAUAAGCAGUGACUUAAGUGAAGCAGGCAGGUCGCGCUAGAAAUUUUAGUUUAAAAAGAUGUCAUAAAUGUUUUCCCCCGUCAUUUUUAUUUAUAAAAUAUGAAGUAACAACUCACAAUUUAAUUUUCAUUCAUUUGUCAUUAAUAUUUAGUCUACACCCGUGCGUUAAGUGGACCAUCUUCCAGUAAACGCAAAGCAUCCAGCUCACCUCUCCAAAUGCGUAAAAUGUGCAUCAGCCGCUAGUUAGGCGCGCCGUGCGCACCAUCAGCUGAUCAGCCCAGACAAGAGCAGAGCAAAUAGAGAAAGAAUAGAGGAUAAUUGUGUCUGGAUGUGGAUGGAGAUUACAUUUUACAGCAGCCUGAUCAUCAUUUAAAUACGUAACCCAUCACCUGUCUUCUAGUCCACGCUGUCAGCAUUAUUUUAUUUGGUGUGUGUGUGUGUGUGUGUGUGUGUGUGUGUGUGUGUUUUCCACUUCAAACACUGGUCUAACCAACCAGACCAGCGUGUCCAGUAACACAUUAAUGUUACAAUUAAACAGUUUCACUUCAUGUGGGCUAGGAACGUUUCACCUGCCGUGGCCCGACCGCUUCUGCUCCACAUAAACUUUGUGCGUGAUCAAAUGUCUCUACGCAUCAUGCGUCUCCAUAUUAGAGACGGGAACAAGCGCUGUUCAGCCAAAGUUUCAUAAUUUCAUAAAAAGAACAUUUUUCCAAGUGACACAUCCCUCAGAGAGACCGGGUUUCCAGUGGGAGGAAAUCUUAUCGCAUGCGCCGUGGUUCUGCACUGCGCUGCAAACCCCAGAUCUUCAGCUCACUGUCCACCGUGGGCGCUCCGAGCCACGCUGAACACAGUGUCCAGUAUAAAGCUCUGAUGUUCUGAUGGGAAUAUUUUACCUCCGCGAUGUGCGUUAACGAUUAAAAUGUCAGCUCAUCCAUGCGCAUCAGUGUGCGUCGGGGUAAUUCUUUCAAACCAAGCAACAUUCUUGAGUUCAUCUGUCAAAAUAAACAGUCAAAUGGAAAUAUAUGUAACCUGCCGUUUAACUGUUUUGCCUUCCUGUGAAGAUUGUUGCAAAGAGAAACAACUAAACUUGAUUAACCCCAGAGCCACCCAGACAACCAGAGCGCAUGCGGGAAGAUUCCUCCCACUGAAGCGAGUGUUUUCCAAACCCUAUCUCUCAGAGAGACUUGUCACUUAGAAACUGUUCCCUGAUUAUGAAACUUUGGCUGAAUAGUGCUUGUUCCUGUCUCCAAUGUGGCGACACAUCCAGGAGCCAUCUGAGGAGAAUCCCAGAAUCUCACAUCCUCUUCAGCUCAGAAAGCGCAUAUGAUUACGCACAAGCGUGACCCAUCAACCCGGUCUCACAGUAAGACCGGGUUGGACCUGUUCAGGUUUACGCAGACGAUCUUUACAUUUAGAAUUGGCAUACAGAUGUAAAAUUAAUGCAGUAAAAUAUAAAGCAUUUUAUUCAAAUAUCCAUUCAUUAUUUUACAAGCACAGAGAGCCGCAUCAGAUGGAUGGAAGAGCCGCAAGCGGCUCCAGAGCCGCGGGGUGCCAACCCCUGUGCUAGCCUACUUUAUUGUCCCCAGCAAUUUUUAAACCCCACUCAAGUGUAUGGUUAUUGUCCCCAGCAAUUCUGAAAACAAACUGACGCCCUUGAUUUUAAUCUACCGACCUCCUGGUCCAGCUGGCCCUUUUCUCUCUGAAUCUGCAGAAUUUCUAUCAUCAAUGAUCAAACUAGAAAAAGUUUUAAUUCUUGGUGACUUUAACUCAUGCACUAAUGAUCCUACUUGUAGCACAGCAGUAGAGUUCAUGUCUAUUACAGAGUCUUUUAACUUGGAGCAGCACGUUUCAGGCCCCACACACUAAAUGGGACACACUAGAUCUUGUUUUCUCUUUGGGACUAAACAUCAAUCAUUUACAUGUUGAAGAGGUUCAUGUUAGUGACCACAGCUGCAUUUUCUUUAAUGUCCUAUCUAAUGUUGAAUCUGUCCCUCACAACCUAAAAUCAAAGAGACGUAUCAUUAAUCAGUCAGCGGUGGAUGGAUUUUCUAGAUUAUUUGACAGCAGCUCAGUUCAGGGUGAUGACCCAAGCUUGUUUAUGCAAUCUUUGAAAAAGCUAUUUUUGACAUUGUUGAUCACAGCACCUUAAUUAACAGACUUGGUGACUCAGUGGGGAUCUCUGGAACUGUUCUAGACUGGUUUAGAUCAUACUUUUCUAACAGAAGUUACAGUGUCUGUAUAAACCAAAUCAUGUCAGAUUCUACUGAUCUGUUCUGUGGGGUACCCCAAGGGUCUGUUUUGGAUCCACAGUUGUUUCUGCUGUACAUACACCCUCUUGGACAGAUAAUUGAUUCUUUUCAUAAUGUCUCUUAUAGGGAUGGGUACCUUUGACAUUUGAAUCGAUCCGGUACUAAUUCCCGGUACCUAAGAAUCGAUACCGGUACUUAACGGUACCAAUUUUUGAUACUUUUGAGUGUUUAAUAUUUUUAAUUCUCUUUUAUAAUUAAAUAUAUAUUUUUCUCAAUAUCUAACCAUAUUUGAUAAGUAUCACGAUAAAUAACCUACAACUGUUUGUAUUUUAACAUUGUCCUUGUAGUUUUAUAAGCUGAUAAUUAAACUGAAGCAAACAUCUUUACUGUGAACUAAAUUUACUGCGUAUCUUCAUUCCUUUUACCGUCCUUUUUCAUUUGAUUUUUCCUGCUGGGAAGUUAGAAUUUCCGAGGAGAAAGCAAACGCACCAUUAGUUGAUAACAAUGGUGGCAUAGGAAGCUAACAUAUCAAGCUACGUUAUCUUAAACAGUUUAUUUAACUGCUGGAGCAGAUUUAAACGAUGAUGCCUCACACUUAAAUCGUUGUCACUGGUUUCAUCUUCACCCAAUCACCCGUCACAUUUAGUAAAGUGAAGCCAAACUUUAGAGCGCAUUCAUGUUCUUCUAGUUGGAAUUUUGGAGUUCCGAGGAGAAAGCGAACGCACCAUUAGUGAAACGGAAGCUAACAAAUCAAGCUAACGUUAUCCUAAACAUUUUAUUUACCUACCGGAGCAGAUUAAGAUGAGGAUGUCUCACUUAGAUCGUUGUUGCGUUUCAUCAUCACCCAAUUACCCAUCACAUUUAGUGAAGUGGAUCCAAGCUUUAGCUUUCAUUCUUUCUACCCAUGCUGCUCUGUUUACAACUGGCUCGCAGCGACCAAUGACGUAACGCUCUUGCACAUGCACAGCUGUCUAGGCAAGUUCUCGUUGCGAAGGACGGGUACCGAAAUGAGGCACUGUUUCAAAUUAAGUGAAUCGGUGCUUGGUCGGUACCUUAAAAAGUACCGAAUUCUGUACCCAUCCCUAGACUCUCUUAUCACCUAUAUGCAGAUGAUAUUCAGCUGUACUGCUCCUUUCAGGAUUCUGAGUUCUAUAAACUGUCUGAAUUACUUGAGUGUAUUUCAGCUAUCAGCAACUGACUAAAAGAUAACUUCCUCCAGUUAAACUCUGAAAAGACUGAAUGUCUGAUCAAUUCCCCUGAGAGCAUGGUUCCCCUGAUUAGUCUAAAACUUGGUCAUUUGUCCUGUGCUGUCAAGAUGAACUUAAGGAAUUUGGGUGUUUUUGACCAUUCAAUGUCUCUUGAAGGUCACUCAAAAACGUUGGUCCGAAACUGUUUUCAUCAUUUAAGAAAUAUCUCCAAACUGCGAAAGUUGGUGUCAAAACAUGAACUUGAAAUGGUUCUCCAUGCCUUUGUCUCCUCCCAUCUAGAUUAACGUAACACACUCUUGACAUGUUUUAACAUAAAAGCCCUUGACCACCUUAAGUUGGUCCAGAACUCUGCAGCGAGUCACCUAACUGGAGCAAACCGAAGAGCUCACAUCAAUCCUAUUCUAAUGUCUCUGUACUAGUUACCCAUUAACUUUAGAGUUCAUUUUAGAAUCCUGACUAGAAUUUUCAAUGAUCUACAUGUUCAAGCUCUACCCUAUAUUACUGAACUGUUAAAGCCUUAUGCUCCAACCCGAGCCCUCAGAUCCACCCACCAGAACCUUCUCGAUGUUAAAUGUAAAUGAGAACCCAUUACUCUACGAUUUGUCAAAUAAAUUUUUUUUUUAAAUUUCUGACAGGAACUUCUCCUUUGUCCUGACUGCGUUUAUAACCUCUGCAACUUGUUUAGUUUCUUUGCGCUUCAGCAGCCAGUGUCUUGAUCUUGCUAUCAAUAAAGUUUUUCUGAAAAAAACAAUAAACAGGGAAUUCCUUCAUGUGCCAAGGACGUAGCAUGAAGAACUAUGGUUAAUUGAGGGCGUUUCUGUAUGUAAAUGCAUGCACUGAUGCGAGGAUAGUCCCCAACCCUACCUCCCCACCUAGUGGACACAUAUGUUGUGUAAUGUGUGAAGUCUAUUGCAUUUCUGUCUGAGGUGUUUUUUGUAUAGCAAAGCUGCCCUCCCUGUGGAGGGUAACUGAAGUACCUUUUUUUUCCUCCACCUGACCAAACCUCAUGUAAACCCUCUGAUCUCUAUUAAGGUAGCGCAACUCGGGUUGCGAAUGACCACAGUCAUGUGUCUAUGCCUAUGUAUGUAUGUAUGUCUGAUAUCAGAAUUGUGUGUACUAAAACUCUAAUUUCCUUCUGGGAUUAAUAAAGUGUAUUUGAAUUUGAAUUAGAAUUUGAAAUGAUGGCAAACGUACACGAGCACCUGGCUAUGCACAGGUGGGAUUUGUCAUCAGACUAACCCAAUCUCCAUGAGCAUUGUUCUCCCCCAGCUGUUUCUCAAGCGUCUUCCAGUAGACGUCUUUAGCCCGUCUGAUCUUAAGUUUGAGCUACUUCUGGGCCAUAAAAUUCUUUCUCUUAUCGUUCAGCGGGGAUUUCAGCUCAGGGGUCAACCAGGGUUUAAUAUUUGAGAAACACCUCACUCUUUGUGUUGGGAUGGUGUUCUCUACACAGAAAUUAACAUAAUCAGUGACAUAGUGGGUUAGACUGUCAAGGUGUUCACCAUGAGCAUGGCAGAGUUUUUCCAGUCUAUGGUUUGAAGCAAUCCAUCAGCCUUUCUGUUGCUCUCUCAGUCCAUACUUUCAUCAUUUGCUUCUGAGGAGGCGUCUAAUCAUCCUGGGUGUGUAUUCUGGGAUCAGGUGAAUGAGAUUGUUGUCUAAGCCAAGGGUUCUCAAACUUUUAGGGGCCAGGAACUCCUUAUGGAGGUAGAAAUUUUGCAAGGACCCCCUUAUACUCCUCAAGCUGAUAAUAUUUUCCAAACUGCCUUUUGUAUUCCCAGAUACUGUAGAGAUUAAUUUUAUUUCUAAAUUUUCAACAGAAAUACUCAGUUUCAUAGUAAAAUAGACUUUAUAGAAGUCUUCCAAAAACAUAAAUGAAAAGUCUGAAACAAUUUUUUAUAAACCAAUUUUAUUUAAUUAGUUCAAAGACUUUUUUACAGACUUUUAACUAAAUGAACAUGCUGAGUAUUGGCAGAAAACAGGAAAACUGGGUCUCAUCAUAAAUGUUUUGCUUUAGGCUUUCUUACACACAGUUGAUCCAGUCAUCAGUAACACCAAAGACUAGUGAGAAGGAUGACUUGGUCUUUCACCACACAGUUUCUCUGUUCUUGGAGGGUUGGAUCACAAACAGACUCUAAGAUCAUCUUCCACUUGUAAAUGAGCCCUGUACUUAUUUUUCAUCACAUUCAGUGUUGAAAAUUAUGAUUCACAGAAGAAGGUGGUAGGCAGGGGUGGACUGGCCUAUCUGGCAUUCUGGCACUGUCCCGGUGUGCCGCUUGCCUAGCUUGGGCCAACACAAGCUUCCUGAUCACGUGAUGUGUGAUGUAUGCUCUCUCUCUCUCUCUCU
Non-coding RNA from Nothobranchius furzeri (turquoise killifish), 13288 nucleotides. Lineage: Eukaryota; Metazoa; Chordata; Actinopteri; Cyprinodontiformes; Nothobranchiidae. The record is from RefSeq and is a predicted model, not a curated record.